GUCUUCUUGUUCUGGGCACCCGUGAGGACAUUCAUCUGGUAUUUCGGGGUCCAAUCUGCUCAUGAAGUGGUUUAGUUUAUUGUGCCCGCUGCGUAACCGAAGCAUUGCUGUUUGGAUAUUUCGUUUCUUGUUAAUGUGCCAAGGUCCUUUUUCGUUUUUUUCGGAUUUCGGUGGCCAGUUGGUCAGCAAUUUCGUUUCCUGGUAUCCCAGCAUGUGAAGGUACAGCUGGACUUGCUUCCCAUUUGAAAUUUGAUAUUGCUUGAACAGCUGAUUUGGAAUCAGUGUAGAUGGUGACUGAGGGAAUUUCAUGCUCGUUCAGGCAUGGAUUCAAGGAUGAACGAGCCGUAGUCGUAGGCGCUCCGAAUCAUGGCUUUGAAGAUGCGAAUAAGGAGUGGCAGUUUCAAGUAGGUCUUGGAGUGGACCCUCUGCCUCUUUCUUCGUUUUAGCGGUGUAGUAGAUCGCGACGUCAUCGGCGAAGAGGGAUGUUUCGCAUCCGUUGACCGGCAUUGGAAAGUCCGCGAGCAUGAUGUUGAAUAGUAGGGGGCUGAGGACACUUCCUUGUGGUACUCCUUUGCAUAUCUCUCUUUCAUCAGAGAGGUUGUCAUCUAUCCGGGUUCUGAUGCUUCUGCCGGAGUCCAGUUAUCCAGACAUUGUCAUACGCUUUGGAUAUGUCUAGGAAGAUUGCUGUGGUGGAGUGGCUGUUGUUGAAGCCUCUUUUGAUUGCUGACUCUAUCCGGAUCAGGUUGUCUGUGGUGGUGCAUCCUCUACGGAACCCGGUCUGGACCUUGGGGACUUUACAGAGACAUGAAGUGAGGGAGAUUGGUCUGUAUGAGUCGGCGCCUCCUGCUGAUUUGUUUGGCUUUAGGGCGGGUGUCACAAUUGCGCAUUUCCACUCCUUCGAACUACACAAGUCACUCGUAGCAGACGAAAAAAUAGAUGAGUUGCUGCGUUUCACGAUCUCAACAAAUCUUAAAAAAGAUGUCGAACAGCCCUAUAGAAAAUGGAGAGAGACACCUUUCACAAUUCAGUUCCUAAAGAGUUGUUCCCCAAUAUUUUGUGCUACUGCAAAUAUACUUUCCAAGAAACGAAAAUGAAAAAGUAAGUUAAAAUAUUAAUAGCUUACAAU
Molecule: long non-coding RNA, 1126 nt
Organism: Daphnia magna
Lineage: Eukaryota; Metazoa; Arthropoda; Branchiopoda; Diplostraca; Daphniidae
Exons: 8
Source: RefSeq, a predicted model, not a curated record